This 497-nucleotide ribosomal RNA is filed under the name uncultured bacterium. Its description in RNAcentral is "partial 16S ribosomal RNA". It matches the Rfam family "Bacterial small subunit ribosomal RNA", at positions 29 to 507 of the family's 1533-position model. The record is from RNAcentral.
UAUGAACGCUGGCGGCGUGCCUAAUACAUGCAAGUCGAGCGAGCGGACGGGAAGCUUGCUUCUCUGAUGUUAUCGGCGGACGGGUGAGUAACACGUGGAUAACCUACCUAUAAGACUGGGAUAACUUCGGGAAACCGUAGCUAAGACCGAAUAAUUUUUUGAACUGCAUUGUGCAAAAGUGGAAUACGGUCUUUCUGUCACUUAUAGAUUGAUCCGAGCUGCAUUCGUUAGUUGGUAAGGUAACGGCUUAGCAAGGCAACGAUGCAUACCCGACCUGAAAGGGAGAUCGGACACACUGGAACUGAGACAGAGCCGCGACACUGACGCGAGGCAGCAGCCGAGACUCCUACGCAAGGGGGCAAAGCCUGACGGAGCACAGCCGCGUGAGUCAUGAAGGUCUUAGGAUCGUAAAAUGCUGUAAUCCGGGAAGAACAAAUGUGUAAGUACCUGUGAACAUCUUGACGGUACCUAAUCAGAAAGCCACGGCUAACUCCGUG